AUGACAAAAGAUACUUAUCCUUCAAUUAGUCAAUUAACUAUACUAAAAAGAACAUGUGAGAGUACCUUUGUCUUCCAGGAAGUUGCCAUUGCAACAUCCCUUGGAAUUAAAAUUCUAAAAAUUUCAAAGAGGUACAGAGAGACAGAGAUUGAUUCCACCAGAAGUAAACAAGAUUACGCCGGUGAUGAGCUAAGGGAUGGUGUGCUAGAAUCAGAGAGACUGAAAUUAAAUGCCAUUUUUCUGGCAGAUGGAAUAAAUGCCGUGAGUUUGCCCUGAAAGUCAAAUGGCACUGCAGCUGAGAUAGAGUUCAGACUGUCCCUUCAUCCUAUGUCAUUUGCAUUGUUGAUUUGUACCCUGCUCCUCAGGAGACAUGAAAGUAUGUAGCUGCUCACCUCUCUGUUCAGCUUUUAUAGAUUACUUUGGUGUUCAAAAUAAAUAUCAUUAUGCUGAAGAUCA
This 456-nucleotide long non-coding RNA is filed under the name Anser cygnoides (Swan goose). RNAcentral's name for it is "lncRNA (ENSACDG00005003676.1)". The record is from RNAcentral. Lineage: Eukaryota; Metazoa; Chordata; Aves; Anseriformes; Anatidae.